Molecule: ribosomal RNA, 108 nt
Organism: Nomascus leucogenys (northern white-cheeked gibbon)
Lineage: Eukaryota; Metazoa; Chordata; Mammalia; Primates; Hylobatidae
Source: Ensembl
AUGUGUGGCCAUGCCACCCUAAACGCAUCUGUUCGCCAUAGCUAAGCAGGAUUGAACCUGGUUAGUAAAUGGAUGGAGAAUUUCUGGGAAUACUGGGUGCUAUAUGCU